Molecule: non-coding RNA, 195 nt
Organism: Tinamus guttatus (white-throated tinamou)
Lineage: Eukaryota; Metazoa; Chordata; Aves; Tinamiformes; Tinamidae
Source: RefSeq, a predicted model, not a curated record
GUCUGUUUGCUAUAUCCUGCCUCCAGUUUGUCCUUUAAAGGCUGCCAGGGCAUUGAUUAGAAGGAAAAGGCCACAACUUCACCACUCGGGAGGAGCAGCUGAUUAAUCCCAUGUCAACAGUCUUGACCCUAUAUAGGAAAGAGAAUCAUAGAAGGCCUGCUUAACAAUAUAUCAAGGAUACACACUUUGGAAAAU